Molecule: ribosomal RNA, 572 nt
Filed under: Hyaloscypha spinulosa
Lineage: Eukaryota; Fungi; Ascomycota; Leotiomycetes; Helotiales; Hyaloscyphaceae
Description: partial 28S ribosormal RNA
Rfam family: Eukaryotic large subunit ribosomal RNA
Source: RNAcentral
AAACCAACAGGGAUUGCCUCAGUAACGGCGAGUGAAGCGGCAACAGCUCAAAUUUGAAAUCUGGCUCUUUCAGGGUCCGAGUUGUAAUUUGUAGAAGAUGCUUUGGGUGUAGCUCCGGUCUAAGUUCCUUGGAACAGGACGUCAUAGAGGGUGAGAAUCCCGUACGUGACUGGUUGCUUUCGCUCGUGUAAAGCUCUUUCGACGAGUCGAGUUGUUUGGGAAUGCAGCUCAAAAUGGGUGGUAAAUUUCAUCUAAAGCUAAAUAUUGGCCAGAGACCGAUAGCGCACAAGUAGAGUGAUCGAAAGAUGAAAAGCACUUUGGAAAGAGAGUUAAACAGUACGUGAAAUUGUUGAAAGGGAAGCGCUUGCAACCAGACUUGCACGCUGUUGAUCAUCCGAGAUUUUUCCCGGUGCACUCGGCAGUGUUCAGGCCAGCAUCGGUUUUGGUGGGCGGAUAAAGGCCUUGGGAAUGUAGCUUCUUUCGGGGAGUGUUAUAGCCCUCGGUGCAAUGCGCCCUACCGGGACCGAGGACCGCGCUUCGGCUAGGAUGCUGGCGUAAUGGUUGUAAGCGAC